Molecule: long non-coding RNA, 978 nt
Filed under: Apteryx rowi (Okarito brown kiwi)
Lineage: Eukaryota; Metazoa; Chordata; Aves; Apterygiformes; Apterygidae
Description: lncRNA (ENSARWG00000013575.1)
Source: RNAcentral
GAAUGCACAGCAGGGGACCCUCCUCCUUCUCCCUUUUAGGUCCUCACCCCCUCCUUCRCCUUCUGUGGUAGGGCAUGCUCUCUCCUCCACCAUCAGCAUGCUGCCUGCUCCCACGCUGUUCUGCCUCCUUCUCCCUGCAACUGUCCAUCCCUGUCCCAGCAGCAAAGAGGUCUGUCACUUCUGUCGCCGCUGAGCUGCUGCUGUGGCCAGGUUGGUGACGCUCAUCUGAAGAGCAGUGACAGCUUUGCUAUCUUCCUGGCAGAGAGUUUUCCCCCAAGCUGCUUCUGAACCUGGUGCCUUGUGCUGUGGGACCGUGCUGAGCUCCCAGAGGGUGGUGCAGAAUCCUGUUUGUAGUUGUCCCUGACCUCCCUGGCUUCCUCUGCACUGUGUUUUGUGGGGGCUCAAAGCCACAAUCAGCAGUUGUUUGUUCUCUACCUGCUGAAAAACUCUCAGAUUUGGGGCAGUCUGAGCUUCAGAGCACACAUGCAAGUGUCCUUCUCUUCUGGCUUUUGACUCUGCCAUGUGAAAUUGAAACUGAGAUCUAGAAAACCAUUGAGAGGUGGACUUCUCUGCACAGUUGAAUCCUGGAGCCCCUUCUUCAGCUGCUAGGUGUUCUGAAAAGAGGUCGAAAGGCAUUUUGUUGUUAAACAAGUUACCUGCUGCCUCCUGGGUCCCCAAAGACUGUCUCUUGAAUCUGUGUGGCUUGCAACCAGGACUCAGUACCAGGUACCUGCAGUUCUUCCUUCAGAUGCUGAUCCUACAAGCUGUAGGAAUCCUGCAAGCUGCAGGGAUCCCUUUUGACUUCACUGAGUUCCAUGGGUGGUUUUGCAUUCAAUUCCAAGCUGUGUGGACCAACUUGCAGCUGCAAUAUCUCUUUUCAGAAGAACUUCCUUGACAGGAGAGAAGGUCUUUGCCUUCACCAUGUCAAGGAAUCUUAAUGAUGUAUUCCUUCUCCAUUGCAUUCCCCACCUGUCAUCU